Molecule: ribosomal RNA, 1164 nt
Filed under: Capnocytophaga canimorsus
Lineage: Bacteria; Pseudomonadati; Bacteroidota; Flavobacteriia; Flavobacteriales; Flavobacteriaceae
Description: bacterial SSU rRNA
Rfam family: Bacterial small subunit ribosomal RNA
Source: RNAcentral
GCUAGCGACAGGCCUAACACAUGCAAGUCGAGGGGUAGAGUGCUUCGGCGCUUGAGACCGGCGUACGGGUGCGUAACACGUGUACAAUCUACCUUUUACUAAGGGAUAGCCCGAAGAAAUUUGGAUUAAUACCUUAUAGUAUUAUUUUAUGGCAUCAUUAAAUAAUUAAAGCUACGGUGGUAAAAGAUGAGUACGCGUCCCAUUAGCUAGUUGGAGUGGUAACGGCACACCAAGGCUACGAUGGGUAGGGGUUCUGAGAGGGAUGUCCCCCACACUGGUACUGAGACACGGACCAGACUCCUACGGGAGGCAGCAGUGAGGAAUAUUGGACAAUGGUCGGAAGACUGAUCCAGCCAUGCCGCGUGCAGGAUGACGGCCUUAUGGGUUGUAAACUGCUUUUGUACAGGAAGAAUAAGGUCUACGAGUAGAUUGAUGACGGUACUGUAUGAAUAAGCAUCGGCUAACUCCGUGCCAGCAGCCGCGGUAAUACGGAGGAUGCGAGCGUUAUCCGGAAUCAUUGGGUUUAAAGGGUCCGUAGGCGGGCGUAUAAGUCAGAGGUGAAAGCACUGAGCUCAACUGAGUAACUGCCUUUGAAACUGUAUGUCUUGAAUAGUUGUGAAGUAGCUGGAAUGUGUAGUGUAGCGGUGAAAUGCAUAGAUAUUACACAGAACACCGAUUGCGAAGGCAUGUUACUAACGACCGAUUGACGCUGAUGGACGAAAGCGUGGGGAGCGAACAGGAUUAGAUACCCUGGUAGUCCACGCUGUAAACGAUGGAUACUAGCUGUUUGGUUUUCGGACUGAGUGGCUAAGCGAAAGUGAUAAGUAUCCCACCUGGGGAGUACGCACGCAAGUGUGAAACUCAAAGGAAUUGACGGGGGCCCGCACAAGCGGUGGAGCAUGUGGUUUAAUUCGAUGAUACGCGAGGAACCUUACCAAGGUUUAAAUGGGAAACGACGUAUUCAGAGAUGAGUAUUUCUUCGGACGUUUUUCAAGGUGCUGCAUGGUUGUCGUCAGCUCGUGCCGUGAGGUGUCAGGUUAAGUCCUAUAACGAGCGCAACCCCUGCUGUUAGUUGCUAGCGAGUUAAGUCGAGCACUCUAACGGGACUGCCGGUGCAAACCGUGAGGAAGGUGGGGAUGACGUCAAAUCAUCACGGCCCUUACA